Molecule: ribosomal RNA, 2902 nt
Filed under: Klebsiella pneumoniae
Lineage: Bacteria; Pseudomonadati; Pseudomonadota; Gammaproteobacteria; Enterobacterales; Enterobacteriaceae
Description: 23S ribosomal RNA
Rfam family: Bacterial large subunit ribosomal RNA
Source: RNAcentral
GGUUAAGCGACUAAGCGUACACGGUGGAUGCCCUGGCAGUCAGAGGCGAUGAAGGACGUGCUAAUCUGCGAAAAGCGUCGGUAAGGUGAUAUGAACCGUUAUAACCGGCGAUGUCCGAAUGGGGAAACCCAGUGUGAUUCGUCACACUAUCGUUAACUGAAUACAUAGGUUAACGAGGCGAACCGGGGGAACUGAAACAUCUAAGUACCCCGAGGAAAAGAAAUCAACCGAGAUUCCCCCAGUAGCGGCGAGCGAACGGGGAGCAGCCCAGAGUCUGAAUCAGCUUGUGUGUUAGUGGAACGGUCUGGAAAGUCCGACGGUACAGGGUGAUAGUCCCGUACACCAAAAUGCACAGGUUGUGAACUCGAAGAGUAGGGCGGGACACGUGGUAUCCUGUCUGAAUAUGGGGGGACCAUCCUCCAAGGCUAAAUACUCCUGACUGACCGAUAGUGAACCAGUACCGUGAGGGAAAGGCGAAAAGAACCCCGGCGAGGGGAGUGAAAAAGAACCUGAAACCGUGUACGUACAAGCAGUGGGAGCACCUUCGGGUGUGACUGCGUACCUUUUGUAUAAUGGGUCAGCGACUUAUAUUCUGUAGCAAGGUUAACCGUAUAGGGGAGCCGCAGGGAAACCGAGUCUUAACUGGGCGUUAAGUUGCAGGGUAUAGACCCGAAACCCGGUGAUCUAGCCAUGGGCAGGUUGAAGGUUGGGUAACACUAACUGGAGGACCGAACCGACUAAUGUUGAAAAAUUAGCGGAUGACUUGUGGCUGGGGGUGAAAGGCCAAUCAAACCGGGAGAUAGCUGGUUCUCCCCGAAAGCUAUUUAGGUAGCGCCUCGUGAACUCAUCUUCGGGGGUAGAGCACUGUUUCGGCUAGGGGGUCAUCCCGACUUACCAACCCGAUGCAAACUACGAAUACCGAAGAAUGUUAUCACGGGAGACACACGGCGGGUGCUAACGUCCGUCGUGAAGAGGGAAACAACCCAGACCGCCAGCUAAGGUCCCAAAGUCAUGGUUAAGUGGGAAACGAUGUGGGAAGGCACAGACAGCCAGGAUGUUGGCUUAGAAGCAGCCAUCAUUUAAAGAAAGCGUAAUAGCUCACUGGUCGAGUCGGCCUGCGCGGAAGAUGUAACGGGGCUAAACCAUGCACCGAAGCUGCGGCAGCGACACUAUGUGUUGUUGGGUAGGGGAGCGUUCUGUAAGCCUGCGAAGGUGUGCUGUGAGGCAUGCUGGAGGUAUCAGAAGUGCGAAUGCUGACAUAAGUAACGAUAAAGCGGGUGAAAAGCCCGCUCGCCGGAAGACCAAGGGUUCCUGUCCAACGUUAAUCGGGGCAGGGUGAGUCGACCCCUAAGGCGAGGCCGAAAGGCGUAGUCGAUGGGAAACAGGUUAAUAUUCCUGUACUUGGUGUUACUGCGAAGGGGGGACGGAGAAGGCUAUGUUAGCCGGGCGACGGUUGUCCCGGUUUAAGCAUGUAGGCUGGUUGUCCAGGCAAAUCCGGAUAAUCAAGGCUGAGGUGUGAUGACGAGGCACUACGGUGCUGAAGUAACAAAUGCCCUGCUUCCAGGAAAAGCCUCUAAGCAUCAGGUAACAUCAAAUCGUACCCCAAACCGACACAGGUGGUCAGGUAGAGAAUACCAAGGCGCUUGAGAGAACUCGGGUGAAGGAACUAGGCAAAAUGGUGCCGUAACUUCGGGAGAAGGCACGCUGGUGUGUAGGUGAAGCCCCUGCGGGUGGAGCUGAGACCAGUCGAAGAUACCAGCUGGCUGCAACUGUUUAUUAAAAACACAGCACUGUGCAAACACGAAAGUGGACGUAUACGGUGUGACGCCUGCCCGGUGCCGGAAGGUUAAUUGAUGGGGUUAUCCGUAAGGAGAAGCUCUUGAUCGAAGCCCCGGUAAACGGCGGCCGUAACUAUAACGGUCCUAAGGUAGCGAAAUUCCUUGUCGGGUAAGUUCCGACCUGCACGAAUGGCGUAAUGAUGGCCAGGCUGUCUCCACCCGAGACUCAGUGAAAUUGAACUCGCUGUGAAGAUGCAGUGUACCCGCGGCAAGACGGAAAGACCCCGUGAACCUUUACUAUAGCUUGACACUGAACAUUGAGCCUUGAUGUGUAGGAUAGGUGGGAGGCUUUGAAGCGUGGACGCCAGUCUGCGUGGAGCCAACCUUGAAAUACCACCCUUUAAUGUUUGAUGUUCUAACGUUGGCCCCUUACCGGGGUUGCGGACAGUGUCUGGUGGGUAGUUUGACUGGGGCGGUCUCCUCCCAAAGCGUAACGGAGGAGCACGAAGGUUAGCUAAUCCUGGUCGGACAUCAGGAGGUUAGUGCAAUGGCAUAAGCUAGCUUGACUGCGAGCGUGACGGCGCGAGCAGGUGCGAAAGCAGGUCAUAGUGAUCCGGUGGUUCUGAAUGGAAGGGCCAUCGCUCAACGGAUAAAAGGUACUCCGGGGAUAACAGGCUGAUACCGCCCAAGAGUUCAUAUCGACGGCGGUGUUUGGCACCUCGAUGUCGGCUCAUCACAUCCUGGGGCUGAAGUAGGUCCCAAGGGUAUGGCUGUUCGCCAUUUAAAGUGGUACGCGAGCUGGGUUUAGAACGUCGUGAGACAGUUCGGUCCCUAUCUGCCGUGGGCGCUGGAGAAUUGAGGGGGGCUGCUCCUAGUACGAGAGGACCGGAGUGGACGCAUCACUGGUGUUCGGGUUGUCAUGCCAAUGGCACUGCCCGGUAGCUAAAUGCGGAAGAGAUAAGUGCUGAAAGCAUCUAAGCACGAAACUUGCCCCGAGAUGAGUUCUCCCUGAGACUUUAAGUCUCCUGAAGGAACGUUAAAGACGAUGACGUUGAUAGGCCGGGUGUGUAAGCGCAGCGAUGCGUUGAGCUAACCGGUACUAAUGAACCGUGAGGCUUAACCUU